This 253-nucleotide ribosomal RNA is filed under the name uncultured bacterium. Its description in RNAcentral is "partial 16S ribosomal RNA". It matches the Rfam family "Bacterial small subunit ribosomal RNA", at positions 524 to 776 of the family's 1533-position model. The record is from RNAcentral.
UACGAAGGGGGCUAGCGUUGCUCGGAAUGACUGGGCGUAAAGGGCGCGUAGGCGGCGAUCACAGUCAGAUGUGAAAUUCCUGGGCUUAACCUGGGGGCUGCAUUUGAUACGUGGUUGCUUGAGUGGGGAAGAGGGUCGUGGAAUUCCCAGUGUAGAGGUGAAAUUCGUAGAUAUUGGGAAGAACACCGGUGGCGAAGGCGGCGACCUGGUCCUUGACUGACGCUGAGGCGCGAAAGCGUGGGGAGCGAACAGG